AGGGAUAUAGCUCAGUGGUGGAGCCCAUGCUUAGCAUGCAGGAGGUCCUGGGUUCAAUCCUCAAUACCUCCA
This 72-nucleotide transfer RNA is filed under the name Camelus bactrianus (Bactrian camel). It matches the Rfam family "tRNA". Rfam says of the family: Transfer RNA (tRNA) molecules are approximately 80 nucleotides in length. Their secondary structure includes four short double-helical elements and three loops (D, anti-codon, and T loops). Further hydrogen bonds mediate the characteristic L-shaped molecular structure. tRNAs have two regions of fundamental functional importance: the anti-codon, which is responsible for specific mRNA codon recognition, and the 3' end, to which the tRNAs corresponding amino acid is attached (by aminoacyl-tRNA synthetases). tRNAs cope with the degeneracy of the genetic code in two manners: having more than one tRNA (with a specific anti-codon) for a particular amino acid; and 'wobble' base-pairing, i.e. permitting non-standard base-pairing at the 3rd anti-codon position. Lineage: Eukaryota; Metazoa; Chordata; Mammalia; Artiodactyla; Camelidae. RNAcentral also lists the same sequence under 2 other names. The record is from Rfam by way of RNAcentral.